Lycium barbarum (goji berry) is the source of this 1081-nucleotide long non-coding RNA. RefSeq lists it as uncharacterized. The record is from RefSeq and is a predicted model, not a curated record. The transcript is spliced from 5 exons. Lineage: Eukaryota; Viridiplantae; Streptophyta; Magnoliopsida; Solanales; Solanaceae.
UAACUUAUAAAUAUUUAAAGUGAGUUUUUCGUAACUUUUCUACAUAAUUUUACGGUUAUUAUCUAAAUUUUAAAAAAUUAUUUACUUAUUAUCUCCAAGAUUAUAAGAGAUUUUUUAAUGCUAUAUACUUAGAGCCAAAAAAAAAAAAAAAACUGAGAGAAAACUUAAAAGGGAAAAGAACAAAAGCUGGAAACUUAAAGCGCCAAAAAUUUCAGCAAAAAGAAAGAGGGAACCUUUUCAACUUAGGUUUUUCCACUUCUUUUUCCGCAAAAACCUUUCCACUCUUCUUUUUCACUGAUCCAUUCCAUUUUCACGAAAAGAAGUGAAAAAAGACAAGACUACGAACAGAGGGAAGCUAAGAUUGAAGUUGCAACAUAUUCAAUUGGUAUUUAGAAGCUUUUCUUUAGAUCUUCCCCCAAACCCCUUUCUAUCAAUCCACACCAGACUAUGACGAGCUCAAAAAAGGGUCAAAAACCUGGCUGACUUGGGACAGAUUACUGGAAGGAGCUUAAUCAAUAUUGGGCUACGCCAGAGUUUCAAAAGAAGAGCGCCAAGACAAAGGCAGCACGAAAGUCUAAGAAGGGUGGCUCAUUACACCCUUGUGGUUCAGUGUCCAUGGGGACUGCUCGGAGAAAAUUGGAAGUUUCUCUUGAUAGACCACCCACCCGUCAUGAGGUAUGGAAGAAGACCUAUACGAAAAUCGAAGACGGAAAAGAAGUUUGGGUCGAGCCAUGGGCAGAGGAUACCUAUGAGGUACUUCCUAGAUUAUCUCCUCAUCUUGGUGUUGAGGCAAACUAGAGCAAUGCUUGAUUUUUGAAUCGAUAUAAUCUGGAGAGGAUGUAGAGGUGAGGUGAUCAGAAGCAUGGAGACGAUGAGGAUCAGGAGAAUAGAGAGCAUCGAGAGGCAAAAAUGGAGUAUUGGGUGUCAAUUGUUAUUUUUUUUUCUGACUUCUGUUAUUUUGGAUUGUUUGAAGUCUAGUGGGAUGCUUUUGAUAUAUGUUUGCAUAACGUCGAAGUUGGUUGGAUAUGUACGAUGUUUGUUGGCUUAAUUUUAAUGCUUGAAUCAUUUCAGGGUAUUUUUA